UACGGAGGGUGCGAGCGUUGUCCGGAAUCACUGGGCGUAAAGAGCUCGUAGGCGGUCUGUCGCGUCGGCUGUGAAAACCCGGGGCUCAACCCCGGGCCUGCAGUCGAUACGGGCGGACUAGAGUGCGGUAGGGGAGACUGGAAUUCCUGGUGUAGCGGUGAAAUGCGCAGAUAUCAGGAGGAACACCGGUGGCGAAGGCGGGUCUCUGGGCCGUAACUGACGCUGAGGAGCGAAAGCGUGGGGAGCGAACAGG
RNAcentral lists this ribosomal RNA (253 nucleotides) under uncultured bacterium. Its description in RNAcentral is "partial 16S ribosomal RNA". It matches the Rfam family "Bacterial small subunit ribosomal RNA", at positions 524 to 776 of the family's 1533-position model. The record is from RNAcentral.